RNAcentral lists this long non-coding RNA (1629 nucleotides) under Ooceraea biroi (clonal raider ant). RNAcentral's name for it is "uncharacterized LOC105276926". The record is from RNAcentral. Lineage: Eukaryota; Metazoa; Arthropoda; Insecta; Hymenoptera; Formicidae.
GUCUGAAUCAUAACAAUGGUAUUAAUUACCUUCCACCCGCAUUCGCGACAUAACCGAUCGUGUGGCCUCCUACGCGUGUCCGUGCGCAAGUAGUCCGCGGCGAAUGCAGCGAAAGGAACUCCUCGGCCCGCUAGUCGAGGCGGUAGCUAAUGUCAAUCGCUCGCAGCCAGAGAUAAAGCAACGAAGAAAGACAGAGAAAGAGAGAGGGACGGAUAGAUGUAAUAAAACUAUGCGAGAAAAUAAUUUUAUCUCGGCUUCUUCCCGACGUUGAAGUUUUUUCUACGCGAGUCAACAUCGGAAUUGCCGAUUACGCGUCUCUAAUGAGCGCGAUGUUAAAAAGAUUAAGCCUCUUUGUAAAUACACAACCGUGUCGAGCAAACGACAAUAUUAUUUAUGGAGGAGCCUGCGUUCUGACAGCCAGAAUUAAUCGCUCAUAUGCUGCGUCGUGCAUAUGCUUAUCGCUGUAAUCGCCGGAACGUACAGAAACCUGGUGCAACACGUUCGUCGGAUCACGGUUCGGCGAAAUCGUCUUACCUGCCUGUUUUGUUGAAGGAAUCUUGAACGAAUCUCGAGAUAAAGAGCUCGCUAAUAUUCUUCCUACACUUCUGGUAUACGAUAAUUUUGUAUUCAAGUGGCGUAUUAAAACAUUACGUCCGCUUACUGGCGCGCCUUUAUUUGUCUAACGCAGGAUAUUCCAACAACUCAUCACGCGCUUAUAUUAUUAUAACACGUGCUAUAUAUGUGCGCGUACAUGUUUGUAGCGGUAAGGUCGUAGAAAUUAGAAUGCGCGUCUGAUACCGACAGUCGAAGAACGGAAAACUUUUUGCCGGUAACAUCAGACGUACCCAUUCAUGUCGCAAUAUCAAUUUUAAUUCGUCGAAUUCUUUGACAGUAAUGAAAUUCCAGCUUCGUCAAUUAAUUUAACAAUACACUGCUGCAACACGAUACACUAAUUGUAAUUUAAUAGCCGACGCCUGUUGACGGCAUUCCGCAAAGCUGAAUUAACAUAUUUCGCGAGGGAAAAGGUCCUAUUAUCCACCUUUCACGCAUCGACCUUUCGCUGUCGAACUGGUUUUAGUAAAGCGAUUAGCAAGAAUGCAUACGAUAUAAAUUACGUGUGCGCGUAUGUACACCUUUAUCGCAGUAUCGCAAUGUUUACAGUACGAUUAUUUUGGAAACUGCAUGUAUUCACGUUCGAUUUUUUGAAAUAAUGGUACGCACAAAAUUAAGCUUCUAAAAUUUCGUAAAUUUUCUUUCGACGUAAAAAAAUUUUUCUAUUAUUAAAUUAUAUAAUUUUAUCAGAACACAUGCGUUGGAGUUUUAGUUGGUGAUAAGAUCAAGGUAUCGAAAUAACAGAAGGAUAACAAGUUAUGCAAUCUGCAUGUAUGUUUUCUUUACGUAUGAAAAACUUACGUAGUUGCUCGCGUGACAAAAUGUUGACAAAAUCUUAUAAUGAUCGCGUUAACGAUUCUACUGGCAAUUAGAGAAUUGCACUUCCGGUUAGGUAGGCUAAACUAGGACUAGCACGUAAGAUUUUCAGUUUUCAAUAAUGCAACUCACAGAAAAACACAAAGCAUUUGUAUAAACUCUUCAAAAACUUUUAUUAAAUAAAUAUAAUUUGAUAUAUAA